RNAcentral lists this long non-coding RNA (259 nucleotides) under Prunus persica (peach). RNAcentral's name for it is "long non-coding RNA (PPER_LNC005017)". The record is from RNAcentral. Lineage: Eukaryota; Viridiplantae; Streptophyta; Magnoliopsida; Rosales; Rosaceae.
UUUGAUUUUGAUUUUUUUUUUCUUUCUGAAAACAAGAAACUAAUUUCGAUUUAUUAUUGUGGCGGUCAAGUAUCUCUUUGUUUUUAUUUGUUGGAUACUCAAGAAUCAAUAUCGCGGAGGUAAUUUUGAUUUGACAAGCUUGUUGCUGUAUACUUUUGUCAGAGUGCUGCUAUUUUCACUCUCUCCUAUUUUUCCACCUACUUUAUCUUUAAAAAUUUAAAAACAAAUUUACUCCUUUGUAAAAUGACUUCUAAGAACG